GACGAACGCUGGCGGCGUGCCUAAUACAUGCAAGUCGAACGAGAGCGACCGGUGCUUGCACUGGUCAAUCUAGUGGCGAACGGGUGGGUAACACGUGGGUAACCUGCCCAUCAGAGGGGGAUAACAUCCGGAAACGGAUGCUAAAACCGCAUAGGUCUUCGAACCGCAUGGUUUGAAGAGGAAAAGAGGCGCAAGCUUCUGCUGAUGGAUGGACCCGCGGUGCAUUAGCUAGUUGGUGAGGGAACGGCUCACCAAGGCCGUGAUGCAUAGCCGACCUGAGAGGGUGAUCGGCCACAUUGGGACUGAGACACGGCCCAAACUCCUACGGGAGGCAGCAGUAGGGAAUCUUCCGCAAUGGACGCAAGUCUGACGGAGCAACGCCGCGUGAGUGAAGAAGGUUUUCGGAUCGUAAAACUCUGUUGUUAGAGAAGAACAAGUGCUAGAGUAACUGUUAGCGCCUUGACGGUAUCUAACCAGAAAGCCACGGCUAACUACGUG
Molecule: ribosomal RNA, 498 nt
Filed under: uncultured bacterium
Lineage: Bacteria
Description: partial 16S ribosomal RNA
Rfam family: Bacterial small subunit ribosomal RNA
Source: RNAcentral